This 1068-nucleotide long non-coding RNA is filed under the name Coturnix japonica (Japanese quail). Its description in RNAcentral is "lncRNA (ENSCJPG00005019109.1)". Lineage: Eukaryota; Metazoa; Chordata; Aves; Galliformes; Phasianidae. The record is from RNAcentral.
CGCCCCGGGGGCUCCGCGCCCCUCCCCGGCCCCCCCAGAAAAACUUUCUCCGCGCGCUGCCCAACUUCUCCCCCCGUCCUCCCCCGCAUCCCGGCCGGACCCUGCCCGGGCGGAGCUUUGGGCACCGAGCGACUUUUACGGCGACUUUCUCGAGUUGCCCCCCCCCCUUAUCCCUCUCCCCCCGCACAGCACCGCUCGGAGCCCCGCUGUGCACGGACCCCCCCGUACGGAACCGCUCCGUGGGACGGGGACACCCCGAGCCCAAAGCGGAGCUGUGCGGGCUGCUGACGUCGGGGUGGGAUGUGGGGGAUGCUCAGCCCCGGGGGGGGCACGGCGGCCCUUGGCGGCAGCUCUGCCCCCCGCCCCCUCCCCGUUGCCGUCAGCUCGGCUGUAGCCGCGCGCAGCAGCCCCGCUCGAAGGGCCCCAGCGCCUUUCACGGCGUAAUUGAAACCAUCGCGCGGCUGCGGGGCGGGGGGAGGGGCGGGGGGGCGGCGGGCAGAGCGGAACCCCGCGGCCCCGCCCGGGACCCCCGGUGCUGUCCCCGCGGCGGGGGCGGUUGGGACCCGGCCGGGCCGGGCCGGCUCUCGGGGUCCGCUCUCGGGACGGGCAGCCCGCAGCCCCAACCCGCACCGGCGCUGGGGUUGAGCCGCCUUGGGAUGGGGGGGAGCAUCCGUGUCUGUGCCCCCCUCCCUCCUCCCGGCGCCGGGGGCAGCUCCGGGCACGCGCGGGGACGGACCGAGCCCCCACGGGGACCGCGGGGCGUGGGGACAGCGGGACGUGCCGGCUGAGCGCGGGGUGACCCGGAGCGGGGGGGGGAACCGCGAUGGGCAGCGCCGGGAGUUGCGGGACGGCGGGGGGACGGGGAGCUGCGGCGGGAGCCCCGGGGCUCGGGAAGGGCCCCCCGGCCCCGGCUUUGUUUCACACUUAAGAGCCGCUAAUUAAAAGCAGGAGCUCGCGGGGCCGCCGGGGGGAGAAAGGGGUGGGGGGCGGGGGGACAUCGGAGCCGACACGUGUCCUGCGUGAGCUGCACACACACGUGUGCACGCCUACGGGGCGGCACCGGGAUCC